AUCAAGUAAAUUUAACUGUCCGCAGAUCGCAAGGGUUUACUUAUCAGUUAAAUUAACUUGAUACUUACCAAAAGGUGGAACAACCGGGCCAAAGUCAAACCUGCAAAACGUAGAACAACUGCGGGCCAAGGUCUGCAAAAGUUGGCAAAAGGUUCGAUCACAAACAAAUGCCUCUGCCAAUCAUUAUGUUAAUCUUUAAAAUGAUGGAAAGAAUGAUCACUUGUUAAAAGUGAAUGGAAAAAUUGUUGAGAGAGCACAUGUUAAUGCAAGUUGCUGUAAAUAUUCACAGCAAAGAUUAAGAUUAUUGAAACAUAUAUUUUAUGUCGAUGCAAUAUUUCGUACAUGCUAUACAGACAAUAAAUACUGCAUAUGCCGUUACACAUCAAAUAGCUAGUUUAUUUUUAUUGACAAAAAAUGUUCGGUGACAGCAUUGAUGCAAUAUUGAAUACAUAGGAAUGAUUUGCUAUUCUCUAUCAUCAUGAUGGCGAAGUAGGUUUCGUGCAUUGAAUUCGGGCAAAGAUAUGCCUAUAAGAGGCACAGAGAGUGUGUCGGAUGGAUUGGUAUCUAUGUUAAAAGUGUAUAAUACAGCUAUUGAGACUGUCUCCAAAAUGGGUAAAAAUGAAGGACCGAUUACUGUAUAUUUAUGCUGAUAUCUUUGAAUUCUUGGAUCUCAAAAGAAGUGCGAGGAGCAGUUUUGAGAACAUAUGUUAUAGGUUGUGGACUCCACAUUUCAAUGAAGUUUUCAUCAUGAAACGCGUUUGUGAUGAUGUAUCUAAUCUAAUUUGUCCGCAUGAGUGCCCUGUAUUAAUUGAAACUUGGGGUGAUGAAUUUGAAGCUUUGUGUACCAGAUAUAAAAAAAAGGAUAGGUUCUCGAAGACAAGUUAAAGCCAAGGAAUUGAUGAGGUUUCUCAUCAUUCAAAUACAAUUUGAAACAGGAGUACCAUAUAUGCAGUUUUUAAAGUUGUAAUCGCAAAUUAAAUCGUCAGAAUCUGGGUACAAUUGAAUACAACAGUUUCUCUACUGAAGUACUUCCAAUAAAGUUGUCAUGUGUAACAUAUGGCUUCAAUCGCUGUCAACAUGUUUAUGAAUUCUACUUUCUAAAGUUCUCAUAGAGAACUUUGAUUUUUAUAAACUUAACAAAGUAGCAAAAAUCGUCACCUACAAUUGGGAUAAAAUGAUUGGUAUUAAUUUUUAUUCUCUGCCAGAGGUGAAAUUGUUAUAUGAUACACACAGGUCUAUCGGAUUAGCAGAUGCAUUGAUUUCAAUGAGAUACUCAUUUGAAAGUAACAAAGCUAAGGAACUCAACGUCCACAUUUUUGAGACUUUAUUAUGGCGCUCUAGAAACAAGUUGCGAAAUGGUUACUGAAAAGGUCCUGAUGAGUCAUAUGAAGGCAAUCCAGUCAGUAAAUGUAAGCACUCUCCGAGAAUAAACAUUUUCAGAUACAAAGUGGUACGGAGUCCGUCACGAUAUGAUUGAAGCCAUUUGUCGGUAACGCUAAACAACG
RNA transcript from Solenopsis invicta (red fire ant), 1505 nucleotides. It is a transcript of the gene named ribonucleoside-diphosphate reductase large subunit-like, with no coding region annotated. The transcript is spliced from 7 exons. NCBI's taxonomy places the organism in Eukaryota, Metazoa, Arthropoda, Insecta, Hymenoptera, Formicidae. The record is from RefSeq and is a predicted model, not a curated record.